AUGAACUCAAAGGAACGUGAAGAAAUAGAUAAGAAGGAGGGGAAAGUAGCCUGGAUACUGCUUCUCUUAAAAGCUGCCUUCCAGAGCCUUAGAAGUAUAUGCAAAUCACAUGCAAAUCUCACACAUAUUUAUCAGCAGCCCUCCUUGGGAAGUCUGCUUGGAUGUGGCCCUGGGGGAAAAUUUGGGUGGAGGUCACUGAAUUCCAGGGAGUUUGCUGUGAGAACCAGGGAGAACAGCUGUGCAACAGUGAGCCAGUUACCAGCCUCGGGUUCCUCUUCUGUAAUACGGGUUAGUAACAGUCUCUCCCUCACAGAGCUCCUGGGAAGAUGAGGGGAGAGAAGGUGCUUGGUGAGCGUGAGUCUGGGGUCUUCAGAACUGUUCUAGCCAUUCCUACCCUUCAUAGCCCAGCUGGGAAAUCUGUGCUGUACACGCUCUGUUUCAUUUAAUCCCAGUGAGCUCGGGCUGCUGAGUGUGGAGCCGCUCUUAUUACUCCCAGUUUACAGAUGAGGAUGCUGGAGUCCUGUGAGGUACAAGAGCUAGGACAGCGUCAGUUUCGCAUUCAGACCUGGGCUGUUUCUCUUGAUGCUCUCCAACCUCCUCUCGGAACGUUAGAUCUGGUGGGUCUCUGAGAUGGGUAACUCUUCGUUUUGUUAUAGUGAACUCCAAGUUUCUCUUCAAAGGAUCAGUAUGUCAGUAUGUUCAACUCUCUUAUUCGUUAUUCUCUAUUUUAAAGUUUAACUUCCUUGUAAUUCCAGUAUACGACCUUCUACACCAGUUCUAAUUAGUAGUUCACAUCUGUCCCCCCUCCCCUGGUUCCAUCCUGACUCAUCCUGGUCACCUGAUCACCCCUGGCUACCUGCUCAGACAAGCUGUAACCAUCCUUCCCACCAAAACACCCACCCUGCCACUCCAGCUCAGACCCCUGCUUUUUAAAAAACAGCCAAUCGGGAUUAGUCUAGCUUGUGCCAUCUAACCCUAGCCAAUAGGGGAUGACACAGCAGUAGGGACGACUCCCAUCAGGCAUAAGUACCCCUUCCCUGCUUGUCCAAGCGUGUGAUCACCAUUGCUCCAUCUGUGCUCUGCACCCUUCUCUAGAAGUAAACUGCCUUGCUGGGAGGGUUCAUCUUCAAGUGCUAUUUCUUUUGCAGCAUUGAAAUUUUACUUAUAAAAAUUCAAUAAAUGAAGCCCAGAGAGGUUGAGGGACUUGCCUAAGGUCACACAGCCAGUUAGAGGCAGAGCUGGAGCUUGACCAAGGGUCCUGGCUGGAGGUCCUGCUCACUUUCCUGCACAGCAUAUAAGACCUCCCCUCCCAGGCAGCUUGACCACUGAGGGGGCUCUGCUUCCCCUUGUCUGUCUUGUGGCGCUGACUGCCCAGGGUGGCGGCUGGGUGCCUCUGGAACUCCUCUCAGCUGGGAUCUGGGGGAGUGCUGCCUGCUAGGGGAUUUGGGGGACUUCCUGACUUCUGCUCACCUCCUCUGCCACGCCCCCUCCGCCUCCACCUGUGUCUCUCCCGCCCCUGCUCAUCAGCUGUCCCUUCCCCUUUCCCACUCCAAGGCUGUCAGUGUUUGGGGGAGAUUAUGCAGUGUUGACAUUGGAAUAUGAAUUAGACGAGAGCAGCAGCCAAAUAUUGGUAUUAGGGAAGGCAGAAGCCCAGGCAGGGAUCCAAGAGUGGCUGGAACAUCUGUGUCUUGGCUGUUCCAGAUGCCCGACCCUGCGCCCACCUGAAAACGAUGGGUCGCAGAGCCACAGAUGAGCUCUGGUGCAGCCAAGGCUUGGUCCUUGACUUGCCAGGCGAGCCCACAGCUAAGUCCCACAGAGCUUGGCCCCAUCAGCUUGCCAUAUUCUGAGGCCCAGGAAAAGGCAGUUGCUUCUGUUGUGAGUUGACAGACGGAGGCAAGACGCUGCCCAAGGAUGCACCCUUCAUUUAAUUGUCUGAAAUCCCAUCUCUAGUGCUUGUGCAGGCCAGCAUUUGCCAAAAUGUGUUCCACAGAUCCCAAGUUCUAAAGGCUGUUAAUAAGUUUUGUGUAAAAGGGGGUUCCACGGCCAUGUACUUGGGAGAGGUGUUAAACAGAGC
This 2074-nucleotide long non-coding RNA is filed under the name Callithrix jacchus (white-tufted-ear marmoset). Its description in RNAcentral is "lncRNA (ENSCJAG00000082833.1)". The record is from RNAcentral. Lineage: Eukaryota; Metazoa; Chordata; Mammalia; Primates; Cebidae.